UGGCUCAGUUGGUAGAGCGUGGCACUUGCAAUGCCAGGGUUGUGGGUUUAAUUCCCAC
Molecule: transfer RNA, 58 nt
Filed under: Salmo salar (Atlantic salmon)
Lineage: Eukaryota; Metazoa; Chordata; Actinopteri; Salmoniformes; Salmonidae
Rfam family: tRNA
About the family: Transfer RNA (tRNA) molecules are approximately 80 nucleotides in length. Their secondary structure includes four short double-helical elements and three loops (D, anti-codon, and T loops).
Source: Rfam by way of RNAcentral